UUCUCCUGAUCGCUGAGUUCUUCUAUAAGAAGCGGGGGAACCAAAUUUUUGGGGUGAAUCGGUUCAGUAGUCAGUAGUCCGUAGUCAGAAAAAGAAGGGAAUCGCUGAAGGCGAUUCCCAACCAGUAUCCGACAACCGACGACCGAUUACUGAAUUCGUAGGGUUACUUUCGACCCGAAUCCGUCAGCUAACUUCGCAAGCGUUGAAAGGGAGGAUAG
This 218-nucleotide small RNA is filed under the name Peptococcaceae bacterium. RNAcentral's name for it is "c-di-AMP sequence". It matches the Rfam family "c-di-AMP riboswitch aptamer (ydaO/yuaA leader)". Rfam says of the family: This family represents a conserved RNA structure found upstream of the ydaO and yuaA genes in Bacillus subtilis and related genes in other bacteria. The record is from RNAcentral. Lineage: Bacteria; Bacillati; Bacillota; Clostridia; Eubacteriales; Peptococcaceae.